Molecule: long non-coding RNA, 1451 nt
Organism: Girardinichthys multiradiatus
Lineage: Eukaryota; Metazoa; Chordata; Actinopteri; Cyprinodontiformes; Goodeidae
Exons: 4
Source: RefSeq, a predicted model, not a curated record
GUUAAACAUGAAGGACAAUGGCCCUAAAGGACUGGAAUUGCUCAUCUCUUUUUCUAAAAAGUAACCAUCCACCAGCUUCUUCGUGCUUUCUGCAGACUCAAAGGUUAAUGGCAGUGAGACAGUGGAGUAACACUCCGACAAUGAAAACCUGCAAAAUACAAGAAAACGACUUCACAAGCGGGAAUUAUUACAUGGAUUUGAGAGACGCUUGCCUUAUGGACUGUUCCAUGGCGGUCCCAGACCACAAACGGGGACCAUCUGGCAACUUAGACUGGAUUUGGAGAAUCUGGGAACAUCAAUUUUCAAGACCGGCUGCAGAUUUUCAAUUGGAUUUAAGAAUGUAUUUUGAAUGAUCAGUUCUAACAAAUGAAUAUGAUUUGAACUGGUUAUUCUGCAAGAAGACAAACCUCCAUCCCAGUUUGAAGUUUCUUGUAGCAGUAGGUUUUCCUGGAGUUCCCUGUAUUUAGUUCCAUCCAGCUUCCCAUCAACCUUGACCAGCUUUGUUAUCCCUGCUGAAGAAAAGUACUCACACAGGAUCAAGCUGCCACCAUCAUGUUUCACUGUGGCAAUGGUAUGUUUAAGAGUUGUUCCUGCAGAACAAAAAGUUCAACCUUGGUCUCAUCUGAAAAGAGCACCUUCACCCACAUGUUUGCUAUAGAUUAAGGUGGUGUGCUGUCCCACCACAGUUUUGGAUUUCUGCAGAUCCUCCGGUUACCUCAGGCCUUUUUGCCGCUUCUCUUAUUAAUUAUUAUAUCCUUAUUUCUAAACGAUUUUGAAAGGCAUGUAUCGUUUUACUUUGUAUUUGCAAUUAUCCGCUACUACCAUGUAAAAUCCCAAGAAAGUACACUAAAGUUUGUGGUUGCAGCAUGACAAAAUGUGGAAAGCUUUCAAGGAUAUGAAUAUCAAUAAUGAUCUAUUGAACCAAACAUUAGUGGAACAAUCUACAGUAUUUGUCACUCAUAUUGACAAAAACAAAAUACCUAUGGAUGUUAACAAAUUUAUUGAGGCACAUCAUGCAAUAAUGUCUCCUUAUUAGACCUUUUUAUAGUUGAUAUCAGUGCAAUUAAGCACACAGAAAGAGCUGUGCUGCAACUUUAAGCUAACGAAUUGUUUACAUUUCACAUAUUAAAAGGAAUAAUACAACAAUCUUUAAAACUUCACAUGCAAAUGCUUUCACUCGUUAAUGCCCUCAGAAAUCUUGCCUACUUUAUAUUCUUUUUUAGCUUUGCAGUAAUAAUGAUUCUGACUUGUACAGCAACAACAAAGUACACUUGUUUGUUCCCUUGCUUACAGAUAAAGCACUCGAGUAUGGAGCGCCAGCUGUUGCCUGCAGUACAGUAUGCUAAUUACCGCAGCUUUGCAAGAAAGGAUAUGCAUAAGAGCAUACAGUAUUGCUUCAGUUGAGUGUGAAGUGCAGAUAUGUGAAUAAAAAUGUUGCUGUCAAUUUUAAA